This is a long non-coding RNA of Dermochelys coriacea (leatherback sea turtle), 1181 nucleotides long. RefSeq lists it as uncharacterized. The transcript is spliced from 3 exons. The record is from RefSeq and is a predicted model, not a curated record. NCBI's taxonomy places the organism in Eukaryota, Metazoa, Chordata, Testudines, Dermochelyidae.
AACACACAGACACGCAGUGUAUGAAAUGGCUGAACCUGGAACAUCUGCUGAUGUUUCUCCAGGUCCUCGAGAAAGACCCAAGUCCCUCUGUCCAGCUGGUGGCAACUGAGAUCAUAAGUGACAUCUGUCCUGGCCGAAUGCUUGGGGAAUGAAGCGGAACGGAGACAAACAGAAAAAGGCGCUCCAUUAGUAUAAGGGCCUUACUGUCAAUCAAAGUUUAACCCCACCCUUGGCCCCGUAACCCUGCCCACCGGUCACUGGAAGUUCCAAGCCAUGGGGUAUUACUUCCACGGUCAAGGCGGACACAUGACUGGAAGCAAGGUGUGUCAUGUGACCCCUCUAAGACCUCCUCCCACUGUUCUCUACCAAUCAGGAUGGGUUUUGCUCUGAUAGGAACGCCCCAAGAGAAGAUUUGACCAAUCGGGGGAGUUCCGGGGCAGGGUGACCUGUCUGGAAGUGGUUCGUGUGACCCCUCUAAGAAUUCCUCCCACCACCCUCUACCAAUCACUAGGGUUUUCAGCCACUGGAGACCACCCCAAGAGGAGAUUUGACCAAAAUGGGGCAGGUUCUCGGACUGGGUGAACUGCCCAGAAGAGGGUCAUGUGGCCCCUCUAAGAACUCCUCCCAACACCCUCUUCCAAUCAGAGUGCAGCACCAUCACCCCAUAAGUCCCAGCACCGGGCAGAGGAAGCCAUCUCUUACCAAGAAGACAUGUUUUAGAAAUUGUGGAAAAACUGAAAAGAAACAUGGACUCCUUUACCACCCCCGUGAGAACUUCAGAUUUUGUUUUAGCCCCGAGGACCUUUGGAGUUGUGUGGAGAAAGCGCUACGGCAGUGACAGUUCCGAGGAGGGCCCUUUGACUCAACCGUUGAUGGAUAUGACGAAACCCGACCCCAAAAUCCAAAGCUUUGUGAGGUACCCCGAUGAGUGUGACAGCCUCUCAUUGUCCACCCCCUAAAGUUGGAAUGUGAUCGUGGCUUGGGGGAGUCACAAGGUGAAUGGGAAAGACAUCGCUCAGCUCGACGAUGCCUUUCUAGAGGCCUUUGAGAAGUUACACAUCGGUAGCCAUGUGGGAGUAAAUCUAUUGCGCAUCAGCUGUUUUUGCUCCUGUCUGAGAUGCAGAUUUCAAGAGGAAAAUCCAGAAAAGGACAAAAAUGGAAGAAUGAACCAGCUCAGAUUU